Molecule: ribosomal RNA, 1853 nt
Filed under: Triticum aestivum (bread wheat)
Lineage: Eukaryota; Viridiplantae; Streptophyta; Magnoliopsida; Poales; Poaceae
Description: partial small subunit ribosomal RNA
Source: RNAcentral
GCCUGGCCGCGGCCGCGGCCGCUUUCCGUGCUUGGGAUUGAAAAAAAAAACCUCCUCCUCCUCCGCCUCCGGAUCGAGAUCCAUACACACGUGCAGAGUUAAGGAAGCGGCUGGUCGCGACCUUAGGCCACCGGAGGAGGAGAAGUGCCCUGCAGAGAGAAGUGCUCGGUCAGAGGUUUGCGUUGGGGGAGCGGAGUGGUUCAGCGUUUGCCGCCGCCGCACACGCGGGAUGCACCGGGGUGGAGGCGGUGGCGAAGGCGGAGUGGCUGCACAGUCGUAGGGUAGGUGUCAUGGGCGGACCUGCUAACCGUUAAGGAGGAGGAUGAACGAACAGAAGCGGUGUUGAGAUGGUGGUUUGAGGCACGGGAGAAGCAGAGCGUCAUUCGAGGAUCGCGCGCUGGUACCGCCGCCGUCCAUGGGAUCAGCACAUGUCCCGCCACAAGCGGCGCGAACCGACGGAGUACCACCCGUGGGACCACAUGUGGACGUAGUGGCUGCCGAGCGGCAAAGCGUGGCUCGACGACUGGGGCACCUACCACUGUUGUGACCAACUAGAAAUACAUUUAUAUCGUCGCUAAAGCUGAACCCAACAGAUGUUCCUUCCUUUAACCUAAUGAAGAUAGAAGACCCAUCAUAACAACUAAACAAAGCCGUCACGGUGAUGUACACGAAUAUAACAAUCGUUCAAUAAACUCUAUUGUAGAAGUCCCGAAAGGGUUUUAGGCGAACUGGAAAACAACGAGUCCGUUUUAUUAGAUGGACUUUCCUUCACAAGAAAACAGCAGUAGCCUUCUUGAUAAAAGUCGUAAGACCCGUAUGAGUACCGACGUGAACAGUGCAUAUGACAGUAAUGUCUACCUGACGGAAAGUCCUUCCUAAACAACUGUGGCACCUACCGACGUUGGAAUUAACUGAAGAUAUAUUUACAAAAACGUUAUAGCCAUACCCAACAAGUGUCCCUCAGCUGAACCUAGAGUCGUCAGUAAACCUAUACGAACAACUAUACGAAGCCUUCGUAGUGUUGUACACCGAUGUAACACCAAGUUGAAGAGGUUCACAGUAUGGUUCUGGGUCAGAUGGUAGACGAUGACUUGAGGGUAUCGUUCAUACCUUAGCGUGGGAACGUCAUUAGCGGCUAGGAGAAGAUGAUAGGACCAAUCGAAUGUCAACCACAUUUAAGACGAGCUGUACGUUAGUAAGUACACCGUAAAUGGACUAACUUUACAUCCUUCUGGACUUUUGAGUAACUUCCCUAUACAAGAACCAUGUGUUAUUACAGGGGAGACAAGUAUUUCCACGGUGUUAUUUCCCAUAUGGUCUCAUCGUUAAUCUCUUCAAAAAAGAAACACCUUACCUUACUAAAGAAUUGCUUCAACUUCGAGGAACAAUACCACAGUUUCCACCAAAAGAUUAACAUAUAGUUUAAAUUAACGAACCGUCUACUAUCUGUUGUCUAAAAAGAAAAAAUGCUUAUACGUCUUCCGAAACACAUAGUGAAGUAACUGUCAGGCUCUCUUUCACGUCCACUAUGUUCUACGUAAUGUCCUCGUGCAUGUUCUUGCGCUGCACUCACAUGGUUCCGUUUUACCAUCUAUGGUAUAAAGCGAGCUCCUUUUUACUUUAUCCGUGUGGUUGUUCAUGAAUGGUGACCCGAUAUCGGAUCGUAAGAGAACAGUAUAACGAGACGGUUUUAUGACCUACGGUUUACUCGGUACAAACUCGAAACCGAACACCUCGAAAAUCCGGGGAUCUUCAUGUUUGGAUUUGUUUCUGUAUUAUACACCCGAAUCGAAUUUACUUCGGUAGAAUUUUUUUACGAGACUGUUCGUUUGGGGGGAGGUCUGGCCGAAGGG